Molecule: long non-coding RNA, 631 nt
Filed under: Heterocephalus glaber (naked mole-rat)
Lineage: Eukaryota; Metazoa; Chordata; Mammalia; Rodentia; Bathyergidae
Description: lncRNA (ENSHGLG00000039560.1)
Source: RNAcentral
UCUAGAGUAAAGUUCUGUAUGUGUGAGACUGAAGGAAGCUGGGAUGGAGGGUGGAUUGGCAAGCAUCUUGGGGAAUGCCAAGUACUCCUGGGUCCAGGCACCAAAUUAGAAAAUUGUGUUCCUGGAUGUCCAUUUUAUUGGGGAAAAGGUUCUAUUUUUCAUUAGAUUCUCAAGGAGGUUGAAACCCCAUAAAAUAACCAUUCUUCAGGCCUCUUCAUUCACUUCUCAGAUACACGCUCCAUUCUUAUGAUCUCUGGCAAUCUGGAGAGAUCAAGGAAAUACUUUUACAAGUAUUGGAUAGACAAGAACUUACCUAAAAAAGAUUUCUAUGCCUUUUAAAAUGAUCUUUUAUUGCUUUUUGUUUUUUGUUUUUGCAGUGUUAGGAAUGAAAUCCAAGGCCUUAUGUACACUGGAGAAGUGCUCUACCAGAGUUGCAUCCCAGCCUUAAUUCUUACUACAAAAACAGUGUGCCUUUUUAGGAAUACAAAGAAGAAGAGAAAGACCUAUCCCCUCCUCAGAGGUCACAUCUCUGUGCUAGAUGUCUAACAGAGUAGCUAUGCAAUAAAUGUAGCUUCUCCUUUGCCAAGGAAGUGGGAGAGCCUCCUGGGGAAAGGAAUUGACCCAAAACUAC